AGUGGGGAAUUUUGGACAAUGGGCGCAAGCCUGAUCCAGCAAUGCCGCGUGCAGGAAGAAGGCCUUCGGGUUGUAAACUGCUUUUGUCAGGGAAGAAAUCUUCUGGGCUAAUACCCCGGGAGGAUGACGGUACCUGAAGAAUAAGCACCGGCUAACUACGUGCCAGCAGCCGCGGUAAUACGUAGGGUGCGAGCGUUAAUCGGAAUUACUGGGCGUAAAGCGUGCGCAGGCGGCUUUGCAAGACAGAUGUGAAAUCCCCGGGCUCAACCUGGGAACUGCAUUUGUGACUGCAAGGCUAGAGUACGGCAGAGGGGGAUGGAAUUCCGCGUGUAGCAGUGAAAUGCGUAGAUAUGCGGAGGAACACCAAUGGCGAAGGCAAUCCCCUGGGCCUGUACUGACGCUCAUGCACGAAAGCGUGGGGAGCAAACAGGAUUAGAUACCCUGGUAGUCCACGCCCUAAACGAUGUCAACUGGUUGUUGGACGGCUUGCUGUUCAGUAACG
RNAcentral lists this ribosomal RNA (502 nucleotides) under uncultured bacterium. Its description in RNAcentral is "bacterial SSU rRNA". It matches the Rfam family "Bacterial small subunit ribosomal RNA", at positions 353 to 848 of the family's 1533-position model. The record is from RNAcentral.